CGACACAAUAGCCAGAUACAAAAGACACAACC
This 32-nucleotide non-coding RNA is filed under the name Mus musculus (house mouse). The record is from RNAcentral. Lineage: Eukaryota; Metazoa; Chordata; Mammalia; Rodentia; Muridae.